Mus musculus (house mouse) is the source of this 1635-nucleotide RNA transcript. It is a transcript of the gene named predicted gene 12696, with no coding region annotated. The transcript has a single exon. The record is from RefSeq and is a predicted model, not a curated record. Lineage: Eukaryota; Metazoa; Chordata; Mammalia; Rodentia; Muridae.
AGAGUUUUUCUGAAUGUUAAGAUUUCUUCAGCCUCCUGAUUGACUUUGGAGUUUUCCAUCUUGGGAGAGAAAGUGAAGGUGUUAGCAUUUUUAAGUAGCUUGAUCACAUAAACCCUUUCUCUCCCAACCCCACCCUUGCCCCCAACCCCUUCCCCACACUGGAAAUAAUUUUACUGGCUGUUAAGUCUUUGACCUUAUUUUUCCUGAUCUUUAACUUAACUGUUUUAGAGCAUCUCUGGACGUCUGUAUUUUUAAUUUUUUUAUCUUUUUUUUUCUUUUUAAUCUUUCAUUUGUUAGAUUUUUAAACUGUGCUGCAAUAAAAUGUGUGUGGUACUAUUUAACCCUAUAAUGGUGAUGGAAUUUUCCCAAAAAGCCAUCUUCCUACUGUUUCCCUUGAAAUCCCAUCCUGCUUUUCCUGUACACUACCCCUCACAAACCACAAGCCGCAGCAACAUGGAUGCCAGUUUGGAGCAGCAACAGCCAGGAUGACCUGGAGCCAGGGGGGCCUUCGGAACAGAUGUAUACCCUUCCUGGAUGAUGUUUUCAGCCUUGUGAGAAACCUCAUCAUCAAAGGAGAUGGCUAGCAAUGUUACCAACAAGACAGAUUCUCGAUCCAUGAAUUCCCGUGUAUUCAUUGGGAAUCUCAACACUCGGGUGGUCAAGAAGUGUGAUGUGGAGGCCAUCUUUUCAAAGUAUGGCAAAAUUGUGGGCUGCUCUGUGCAUAAAGGCUUUGCCUUUGUCCAGUAUGUUAAUGAAAGAAAUGCUCGAGCUGCUGUAGCUGGCGAGGAUGGCAGAAUGAUUGCUGGCCAGGUUUUAGAUAUUAACCUGGCUGCAGAGCCAAAAGUGAACCGAGGAAAAGCAGGUGUGAAACGAUCUGCAGCGGAGAUGUACGGUUCCUCAUUUGACUUGGACUAUGACUUUCAACGGGAUUAUUAUGACAGGAUGUACAGUUACCCAGCACGGGUUCCUCCUCCUCCUCCUAUUGCUCGAGCUGUGGUGCCUUCCAAACGUCAGCGUGUUUCAGGGAACACCUCACGAAGGGGCAAAAGUGGAUUCAAUUCGAAGAGUGGACAACGGGGAUCUUCUUCCAAGUCUGGAAAAUUGAAAGGCGAUGACCUUCAGACCACUAAAAAGGAGCUGACUCAGAUAAAACAAAAAGUGGAUUCUCUUCUGGAAAGCCUGGAAAAAAAAUUGAAAAAGAACAAAGCAAGCAAGCAGACUUGUCCUUCUCAUCCCCAGUAGAGAUGACGAAUGAAAAGUCUGAAGAAGAGCAGAGCAGCGCCUCUGUGAAGAAAGAUGAGACUAAUGUGAAGAUGGAGUCUGAGGCAGGUGCAGAUGACUCUGCUGAGGAGGGUGACAUGCUGGAUGAUGACGAUAAUGAAGAUCGGGGGGAUGACCAGCUGGAGUUGAAGGAUGAUGAAAAAGAGCCCGAGGAAGGAGACAACGACAGAGAGAGCGCCAAUGGAGAGGAUGACUCUUAAGCACGUAGUGGAGCUUAGAAAUCUUAUCCCAUUAUUCAUUUACCUAGGCGUUUGUGGGAGAUGAAAGUAACACCAGGUCAUCUCCCCUGGGGUCUUCUGCACAUUCUCACUGUUGUCCCGCCUUACCCUCCCUGUGUUCAUUAAUUCAUGAUUG